RNAcentral lists this ribosomal RNA (439 nucleotides) under uncultured Bacillota bacterium. RNAcentral describes it as "bacterial SSU rRNA". It matches the Rfam family "Bacterial small subunit ribosomal RNA", at positions 917 to 1359 of the family's 1533-position model. The record is from RNAcentral. Lineage: Bacteria; Bacillati; Bacillota.
GGACCCGCACAAGCAGUGGAGUAUGUGGCUUAAUUCGACGCUACGCGAAAAACCUUACCAGGUCUUGACAUCCGACUAACGAAGCAGAGAUGCAUCAGGUGCCCUUCGGGGAAAGUCGAGACAGGUGGUGCAUGGUUGUCGUCAGCUCGUGUCGUGAGAUGUUGGGUUAAGUCCCGCAACGAGCGCAACCCUUGCCGAUAGUUACUACGAAAGAGGACUCUAUUGGGACUGCCGUUGACAAAACGGAGGAAGGUGGGGACGAGGUCAAAUCAUCAUGCCCCUUAUGACCUGGGCUGCACACGUACUACAAUGGUCGUCAACAGAGGGAUGCAAUACCGCGAGGUGGAGCGAACCCCCAAAAACGAUCUCAGUUCAGAUUGUAGGCUGCAACUCGCCUACAUGAAGUCGGAAUUGCUAGUAAUCGCGGAUCAGCAUGCCG